Molecule: signal recognition particle RNA, 299 nt
Filed under: Aotus nancymaae (Ma's night monkey)
Lineage: Eukaryota; Metazoa; Chordata; Mammalia; Primates; Aotidae
Description: Metazoan signal recognition particle RNA (ENSANAG00000009337.1)
Rfam family: Metazoan signal recognition particle RNA
About the family: The signal recognition particle (SRP) is a universally conserved ribonucleoprotein. It is involved in the co-translational targeting of proteins to membranes.
Source: RNAcentral
ACCAGGACCCGUGGCGCGUGCCUGGAGUCCCAGCUACUCGGGAGGCUGAGGCUGGAGGAUCUCUUGAGUCCAGGAGUUCUGGGCUGUAGUGUGCUAUGCAGAUCGGGUGUCUGCACUAAGUUCGGCAUCAAUAUGGUGAUCUCCCGGGAGUGGGGGACCACUAGGUUGCCUAAGGAGGGGUGAACCGGCCCAGGUCGGAAACAGAGCAGGUCAAAACUCCUGUGCUGAUCAGUAAUAGGAUCGCGCCUAUGAAUAGUCACUGCACUCCAGCCUGGGCAACAUAGCAAGACCCUGUCUCU